RNAcentral lists this ribosomal RNA (497 nucleotides) under uncultured bacterium. RNAcentral's name for it is "partial 16S ribosomal RNA". It matches the Rfam family "Bacterial small subunit ribosomal RNA", at positions 28 to 507 of the family's 1533-position model. The record is from RNAcentral.
GAUGAACGCUGGCGGCGUGCCUAAUACAUGCAAGUCGAGCGAACAGACGAGGAGCUUGCUCCUUUGACGUUAGCGGCGGACGGUUGAGUAACACGUAGGUAACCUACCUAUAAGACUGGGAUAACUUCGGGAAACCGGAGCUAAUACCGGAUAAUAUUUCGAACCGCAUGGUUCGAUAGUGAAAGAUGGCUUUGCUAUCACUUAUAGAUGGACCUGCGCCGUAUUAGCUAGUUGGUAAGGUAACGGCUUACCAAGGCAACGAUACGUAGCCGACCUGAGAGGGUGAUCGGCCACACUGGAACUGAGACACGGUCCAGACUCCUACGGGAGGCAGCAGUAGGGAAUCUUCCGCAAUGGGCGAAAGCCUGACGGAGCAACGCCGCGUGAGUGAUGAAGGUCUUCGGAUCGUAAAACUCUGUUAUUAGGGAAGAACAAACGUGUAAGUAACUGUGCACGUCUUGACGGUACCUAAUCAGAAAGCCACGGCUAACUACGUG